GUAAGGUGCUUUUUAAUUUAAUGAGCUUGUAGUACAAUACUUCUGUAAUGGUAACAUGGCUUUGAAUACUUUUCAGUUAUAUUUUAUAGUUAAUAGAAUCCUUCAUUGUAGUAAUAACUUUUUUAAGCCAUUACAGUUUCACUUUAUCAAUUAUUGUUAAAUGAAGUAGGUUAAUAAUCUGAAUCACAUUGUGUUUGUCCUCGUGCGUGUAUACAGUAGGCUAACCAAUACUAAGACCUUUUUAUAUAUCUUUUCAUCUGUGUUUGCUUAUUUAUAUAGGAUAUCUCUUGAUCUUUUAAUCAUGCAUGCAUGCAUGCAUCAUAAUAUAUUG
This 331-nucleotide unclassified non-coding RNA is filed under the name Hevea brasiliensis (rubber tree). Lineage: Eukaryota; Viridiplantae; Streptophyta; Magnoliopsida; Malpighiales; Euphorbiaceae. The record is from RNAcentral.